UAACUGUUCUGGAACCAAACCGAACUAUAAGCCUGCCGAAGACCAUGUGAGUAUGUCCUGGCAGAUGAGCGGAGAAACCAUCACAGAUGGCGUGGCAACCGACAGUGCUGCCCUGUGGGACGGGAACCAUUACCGCAUCACAAGCAGGCUGAGGGUCUCGCUCAGACACUGGAUCACACCCAGCAGGAACUUCAGCUGCACCAUCAGCUUCUUCAAUGGGACAGCCACUGUGAACACAACAAAGUGGUUGGAAAGCAUUGAAGGCCCAGGAGCUGCAACUAAAAGAGGGAAAUAUCUGAGGAUCACGCACACCGCCAAACUGUCCUAUGCUGCUUUCAUCGCCAAGAGCAGCAUCUUUGGAGCCUUUGUGGUGCUUCUAGUGUGGAGGCUUCAGGCCUCAUCUGAAAAACACAGCACCUGAGAGUUGAGCUGAACCACACAGUCGGUCCUCCUGGUUUCUGGAGAUAAAUAAAAAUUAUGUAUGCUGUGUAUUUGCUUUCAAUCAUCCAAUAAUAUCCAGCACAAAUUAGAGGACGGUGCUGGAUUUAAAAGCAUCUGGAUAAUAUAGCCAACACUGACACAUUAAUAAUGCUGUAUGUUCAUGUAAGUGCUUGUGACCUGCUUCA
This is a non-coding RNA of Monopterus albus (swamp eel), 626 nucleotides long. The record is from the annotation of a RefSeq genome assembly. NCBI's taxonomy places the organism in Eukaryota, Metazoa, Chordata, Actinopteri, Synbranchiformes, Synbranchidae.